This is a long non-coding RNA of Poecile atricapillus (Black-capped chickadee), 2194 nucleotides long. RefSeq lists it as uncharacterized. Lineage: Eukaryota; Metazoa; Chordata; Aves; Passeriformes; Paridae. The record is from RefSeq and is a predicted model, not a curated record. The transcript is spliced from 4 exons.
UAUAAUUAAGUCGUGAUUUUUUUCCUUUGCUGUCUCCCUUCCUUUAUUCCCCAGUUCCCAUCUGAUUAUUUGAAACUCGUCCAGCAGUGGCACGGGAAGGAAUUUUUCUCGAAACUCCUGAAAAACAAAAAGAAAAAAAAAAAAAGGUGGGGGGAAUUAAAUCUUAAUUUUUUUGGGUUUUUUUUCCUUUUCAGUCAAGCUGUUCAGAGAAAGGAAUGUGGAGUGAAUCUUCCUGGAAUGUCUCUUUACAAGGAAUUUUUUGAACAGUUUGUUUUUUGUAAAUAGACACAAAUUCCUAAACUAUUAUCUCUCCAGAGAGCCUCCUCCUCCCCAGUUAACUCACAUAAAAUAAGGCUUUUUAAGCUGUUUCUGCUGCUCAGCCACCAGGCCAAAACCAAGUGCUAAAAUGAGCUGCUCGUGAAUAAACAUGAACUUCAAAUUAGGGAAAUUUUAACUGCCAGAGUCAAGAUUCUGGAGGUUUUGCAGGGAAGAUAUUGAAGGUAAGAAAGGAAAUCAGUUUUAAGGUAGAACCUCAUGACUUUAUGGCUGUGAGUACAGCUGAUGAGCUUUUCCAGUCUUAAUUCCAAUGUUCCCACUGUUAUUAUUAUUGUUAUUAGGGGAAAUAUUAAUAAAUAAUUUGGUUUUUCCUGGAGGAACCUCUGUCACCAUCAAUUCCAGGGUAAAAUGAUCAUUCCAGUGAAAUCUGGAGCUUGGAUUCUCAAGCAAACUCAGGGAAGUUGAAUUUCCAGCCCUGCUGGGCAUUUCCAUUUCCCCACAUCACCCCUCAACUGACAAAGGAAGUUGUCUGGGUUAAGAAAUCCAACUCCAGGGAUUGUUUUACUGCAUUUGACCUCAUGUGAAGGGAAAAAGAAACCAAGAGGCUCCAAAAUGGUGUCAAAAGUCCGAGGGGACACCGACCCCGGCCACCUCUGCUCCAGUUCUCUUUGCACUGCAGACCUGCUAAUCCAAAUAUUUUUGGAAAAUUCCAUCCCAGCUCCUCGGGGUGUUUUUCCUCUCUCCCCUGUUCCUGCUCAGCCAGCAGCCACGCUGGGAGCUGGAAUUCACCCACAUAACUGGAAUUCCCAGAUUCCUGCCUGGCCUGGGAGCUGCUGCUCCUCUGGAGGUGCCUGCCUGUAUUUGGAGAUCCCAUUCCAGCUGGCUCCUUCCUUCCCAGCAAAACCCACCUCAGCCCAACAACUGCCGGCCCUUCACCCUGCCCAGCUCCAGCAAACUUCACCCAAACCGCUAAAAUAUGAGUUAUGCAAAUGCCAGAUGUUCAGAAAGGCUUUUUUUAGCCCCGUUUCUGGGCGAGCUGUGCCUCGGUCAUCUGAAACUUCCUUUUUUUGGGGCUUGUUUAUGGCAGAGAUACGUUAUCUGCCUGACACUUUACUCAUACAAAUGCCAUUCACCAGGGAGCCUGAAUCAAAGACAGGCAAUGUUCCCUCUCAAAAUGUUAUUUUUAGAGUACUAAUGUUUACUAAAAGUUCAUAUAAAUAUUCUUUGUUCAAACUCGGCUAAAUUUAGCAGGGGGCAGUUUAAUAUUCACGGAGCCAUCGGGACAUUAUUCCCCUGGGAUUGUUUAGUUCCUGGGUGCCUGCUGACCUUUCUGCUGCAGAAAGUGACUCAUAUCUUCUGCGGCUUUAAUUCAGAAUUUUAAUCCUCCCCUAAUCAUAAGACAUUGUUUAUGGGAUGGGCAAGGUUAUGCCAAGGUUAUGCCUGCCCGGAGGGGACGUCAGAGGCAAGAAAUGGGAGUCAUUUUCACUUGGGAAUGUUGAAAUUUGGAGUUACUUAUUCUUUGCAGGACUCUGGGGGAGUUGGGUGGCUCAGAGUCGUUCUCCAAGGCUGGGGAGCUUCCCAAGGCUCCGUGUUUGAAGGAGAACAGGGAAGCAGAACCAUCCGGAGAGGAGAAUUUGCCGUGAGCCUCAGUGAGGGCAGCAGCUCAGAGCGAGGGAAAUGAGGGCAGUGGAAUAGCAGACUUAAUUAGUGUGAGGUUUAAAUGGCUGAAACCUCCUCCUGGUGGCUCCCAGCCAGGAGCUGCCACCAUCAGGGUGACAUUCCAGCUGCUGGAGAUCCCAUGGGAGAGCUCACAUGGAGGGCUUGGACAAGGCAGGGCUGGGGCUGAGGAAAAGACAGAGGGGAAAAAAACACGGGGGUUUCUAGACCAGUGGUUCCAGACUGGUGGUUCCAGACUGGU